UUCUAUGGCCCUGUACCCUGAAGACACUGGCUCUUGAUCUUGUCUGAUCUUGGUAGCUAAGCAGGGUCAGGCCUGGCUGGUACUUGGAUGGAAGAUGUGGAGGACAGAUAGGAGGAGAGACCAAGCCGCAGAGGAAA
This 137-nucleotide ribosomal RNA is filed under the name Erinaceus europaeus (western European hedgehog). The record is from RNAcentral. Lineage: Eukaryota; Metazoa; Chordata; Mammalia; Eulipotyphla; Erinaceidae.